RNAcentral lists this small nuclear RNA (20 nucleotides) under Arabidopsis thaliana (thale cress). RNAcentral's name for it is "snRNA_13592". Lineage: Eukaryota; Viridiplantae; Streptophyta; Magnoliopsida; Brassicales; Brassicaceae. The record is from RNAcentral.
CGAGAUUCCCACUGUCCCUG